This 749-nucleotide ribosomal RNA is filed under the name uncultured marine bacterium. RNAcentral's name for it is "bacterial SSU rRNA". It matches the Rfam family "Bacterial small subunit ribosomal RNA", at positions 94 to 883 of the family's 1533-position model. The record is from RNAcentral.
AGUGGCGCACGGGUGAGUAACACGUGGGAACAUACCUUAUAGUACGGAAUAACUGCGGGAAACUGUAGCUAAUACCGUAUAUUCCAGUAAUGGGAAAGAUUUAUCGCUAUAAGAUUGGCCCGCGCAAGAUUAGCUUGUUGGUGAGGUAAAAGCUCACCAAGGCUUCGAUCUUUAGCUGGUUUGAGAGGAUGAUCAGCCACACUGGGACUGAGACACGGCCCAGACUCCUACGGGAGGCAGCAGUAGGGAAUAUUGGACAAUGGGGGCAACCCUGAUCCAGCAAUGCAGCGUGAGUGACGAAGGCCUUAGGGUUGUAAAACUCUUUCAUCGGUGAGGAUAAUGACAGUAGCCGAAGAAGAAGGACCGGCUAAUUCCGUGCCAGCAGCCGCGGUAAUACGGAAGGUCCUAGCGUUGUUCGGAAUUACUGGGCGUAAAGCGCGUGUAGGCGGAACAGAAAGUUAGAAGUGAAAUCCCUGGGCUCAACCUAGGAAUUGCUUUUAAAACUUCUGUUCUGGAAUUCAGGAGAGGAAAAUGGAAUUUCCAGUGUAGAGGUGAAAUUCGUAGAUAUUGGAAGGAACACCAGUGGCGAAGGCGAUUUUCUGGACUGAUAUUGACGCUGAGAUGCGAAGGCAUGGGUAGCAAACGGGAUUAGAUACCCCGGUAGUCCAUGCAGUAAACGAUGGGUGCUAGUCGUCGGACUUUUGUUCGGUGUCGUAGCUAACGCGUUAAGCACCCCGCCUGGGGAGUAC